AACGAACGCUGGCGGCAGGCUUAACACAUGCAAGUCGAACGGGUGUAGCAAUACAUCAGUGGCAGACGGGUGAGUAACACGUGGGAACCUUCCUAGGGGUACGGAACAACUCAGGGAAACUUGAGCUAAUACCGUAUACGUCCGUGAGGAGAAAGAUUUAUCGCCCUUAGACGGGCCCGCGUCGGAUUAGGUAGUUGGUGGGGUAACGGCCUACCAAGCCUACGAUCCGUAGCUGAUCUUAGAGGAUGAUCAGCCACACUGGGACUGAGACACGGCCCAGACUCCUACGGGAGGCAGCAGUGGGGAAUCUUGGACAAUGGGCGCAAGCCUGAUCCAGCCAUGCCGCGUGAGUGAAGAAGGCCUUAGGGUUGUAAAGCUCUUUUACCAGGGACGAUAAUGACGGUACCUGGAGAAUAAGCCCCGGCAAACUUCGUG
This 435-nucleotide ribosomal RNA is filed under the name uncultured bacterium. RNAcentral describes it as "bacterial SSU rRNA". It matches the Rfam family "Bacterial small subunit ribosomal RNA", at positions 29 to 507 of the family's 1533-position model. RNAcentral also lists the same sequence under 1 other name. The record is from RNAcentral.